CGGGGCGUGGCUCAGCUUGGCUAGAGCGCUUGCUUCGGGAGCAAGAAGUCCCCGGUUCGAAUCCGGGCGCCCCGACCA
Molecule: transfer RNA, 78 nt
Filed under: Candidatus Omnitrophica bacterium CG_4_10_14_0_8_um_filter_43_18
Lineage: Bacteria; Pseudomonadati; Candidatus Omnitrophota
Also listed under: 2 other names
Description: tRNA-Pro
Rfam family: tRNA
About the family: Transfer RNA (tRNA) molecules are approximately 80 nucleotides in length.
Source: RNAcentral